GUGCUCUGACUUCUCUUCAUCAAUCGUACUAAUCUUUCACCUUUUACUAAAGAUUACCGUGGAGAGGAGCAUCCUAAUGAUCUUAAGCUAAUUUUUGGAAUGCCACAUAGUGGGAU
Molecule: small nuclear RNA, 116 nt
Filed under: Parasteatoda tepidariorum (common house spider)
Lineage: Eukaryota; Metazoa; Arthropoda; Arachnida; Araneae; Theridiidae
Description: U5 spliceosomal RNA
Rfam family: U5 spliceosomal RNA
About the family: U5 RNA is a component of both types of known spliceosome. The precise function of this molecule is unknown, though it is known that the 5' loop is required for splice site selection and p220 binding, and that both the 3' stem-loop and the Sm site are important for Sm protein binding and cap methylation.
Source: RNAcentral